Molecule: ribosomal RNA, 468 nt
Filed under: uncultured bacterium
Lineage: Bacteria
Description: partial 16S ribosomal RNA
Rfam family: Bacterial small subunit ribosomal RNA
Source: RNAcentral
GACGAACGCUGGCGGCGUGCUUAACACAUGCAAGUCGAACGGAAAGGCCCUGCUUUUGUGGGUUGCUCGUGUGGCGAACGGGUGAGUAACACGUGAGUAACCUGCCCUUGACUUUGGGAUAACUUCAGGAAACUGGGGCUCAUAUCGGAUAGGAGCUCCUGCUGCAUGGUGGGGGUUGGAAAGUUUCGGCGGUUGGGGAUGGACUCGAGGCUUAUCGGCUUGUUGGGGGGGUAGUGGUUUACCAAGGCUUUGACGGGUAGCCGGCCUGAGAGGUUGGCCGGCCACAUUAGGCCUGCGGGAGGGACCAGUCUCCUACGGGAGGCAACAGUGGGGAAUAUUGCGGAGUGGGCGGAAGUCUGAUGCAGCGACGCCCGGAGCGUGAUGACCGGUUUCGAGUUGUAAACCGAUUUCGCCGGUGAUGAAGCGUGAGUGACGGAAAUGAGUAAAGAAGCACCGGCUAACUACGUG